RNAcentral lists this ribosomal RNA (497 nucleotides) under uncultured bacterium. RNAcentral describes it as "partial 16S ribosomal RNA". It matches the Rfam family "Bacterial small subunit ribosomal RNA", at positions 28 to 507 of the family's 1533-position model. The record is from RNAcentral.
GAUGAACGCUGGCGGCGUGCCUAAUACAUGCAAGUCGAGCGAACGGACGAGAAGCUUGCUUCUCUGAUGUUAGCGGCGGACGGGUGAGUAACACGUGGAUAACCUACCUAUAAGACUGGUAUAACUUCGGGAAACCGGAGCUAAUACCGGAUAAUAUUUUGAACCGCAUGGUUCAAAAGUGAAAGACGGUCUUGCUGUCACUUAUAGAUGGAUCCGCGCUGCAUUAGCUAGUUGGUAAGGUAACGGCUUACCAAGGCAACGAUGCAUAGACGACCUGAGAGGGUGAUCGGCCACACUGGAACUGAGACACGGACCAGACUCCUACGGGAGGCAGCAGUAGGGAAUCGUCCGCAGUGGGCGAAAGCCUGACGGAGCAGCGCCGCGUGAGUGAUGAAGGUCUUCGGAUCGUAAAACUCUGUUAUUAGGGAAGAACAUAUGUGUAAGUAACUGUGCACAGAUUGACGGUACCUAAUCAGAAAGCCCCGGCUAACUACGUG